This 435-nucleotide ribosomal RNA is filed under the name Triticum aestivum (bread wheat). RNAcentral's name for it is "partial small subunit ribosomal RNA". The record is from RNAcentral. Lineage: Eukaryota; Viridiplantae; Streptophyta; Magnoliopsida; Poales; Poaceae.
GCAAAUGAAGUACAAAUUCAGAGAAUAAUUGAUAGCAUCAAUGCACCGGGUCCACUCACUCGUUCAAGGGCAACACAACUAGCAAAUUCCUGUGGGCACUUCGCAUUUGUCUCAAUAUCUGAACCCAAGAAAGUUGAAGAAGCCUUCUUGGAACCUGAAUGGAUUCAAGCUAUGCAAGAAGAGCUUCAACAGUUUGAGCUGAAUAAUGUAUGGGAACUGGUUAAGCGUUCUGAUCCUCGCAAGCACAAUAUAAUAGGCACCAAAUGGAUAUAUUGCAACAAGCAAGAUGAGCAUGGUCAAGUUGUCAGAAACAAAGCUCGUCUCGUUGCUCAAGGAUAUACUCAAGUGGAAGGGAUUGACUUCGAUAAAACAUUUGCUCCUGUGGCUAGACUUGAAGCCAUACGUAUACUGCUGGCCUAUGCAAAUCAUCAUAAC